Molecule: long non-coding RNA, 331 nt
Filed under: Suricata suricatta (meerkat)
Lineage: Eukaryota; Metazoa; Chordata; Mammalia; Carnivora; Herpestidae
Description: lncRNA (ENSSSUG00005008870.1)
Source: RNAcentral
GAGGCAGAUACCUGGAGCCACGACCCCAGAUGGCAAACAAUUAAAGAGAGAAUAAGAGGGGAAAGGACCCCCCUGUGGUGUGGCCUCGAUAAGAAACAACAUGGCCUCUUGGGGUCAUGGGCUCGUCUUUCAUUCUGGAUGUCCAUGAUUUGGAAAAAGGCAACGAAGACGAAUGAGGCAACUCCAACAUGGCAAGAUAGCCAGCGGGUGUGAAUGCAGCAGAGCAACGUGAGGCCCCGCCCAGGGAUCCCAGGAUUUACCAACAGAAGUCACAACACUGGCAUGGCGCCUGGGGGCUCCACCAGUCAAGCGUCCAGCUCUUGAUCUCAGU